AUUACCGAGUGAGGGCCCUUUGGGUCCAACCUCCCACCCGUGUUUAUUUUACCUUGUUGCUUCGGCGGGCCCGCCUUUACUGGCCGCCGGGGGGCUCACGCCCCCGGGCCCGCGCCCGCCGAAGACACCCCCGAACUCUGUCUGAAGAUUGAAGUCUGAGUGAAAAUAUAAAUUAUUUAAAACUUUCAACAACGGAUCUCUUGGUUCCGGCAUCGAUGAAGAACGCAGCGAAAUGCGAUACGUAAUGUGAAUUGCAAAUUCAGUGAAUCAUCGAGUCUUUGAACGCACAUUGCGCCCCCUGGUAUUCCGGGGGGCAUGCCUGUCCGAGCGUCAUUGCUGCCCUCAAGCCCGGCUUGUGUGUUGGGCCCCGUCCUCCGAUUCCGGGGGACGGGCCCGAAAGGCAGCGGCGGCACCGCGUCCGGUCCUCGAGCGUAUGGGGCUUUGUCACCCGCUCUGUAGGCCCGGCCGGCGCUUGCCGAUCAACCCAAAUUUUUAUCCAGGUUGACCUCGGAUCAGGUAGGGAUACCCGCUGAACUUAAGCAUA
This 544-nucleotide ribosomal RNA is filed under the name Penicillium polonicum. RNAcentral's name for it is "eukaryotic LSU rRNA". The stretch from base 181 to 333 matches the Rfam family "5.8S ribosomal RNA". The record is from RNAcentral. Lineage: Eukaryota; Fungi; Ascomycota; Eurotiomycetes; Eurotiales; Aspergillaceae.